AACGAACGCUGGCGGCAUGCCUAACACAUGCAAGUCGAACGAUUGCCUUCGGGUGAUAGUGGCGCACGGGUGCGUAACGCGUGGGAAUCUGCCCUUAGGUUCGGAAUAACAGCUGGAAACGGCUGCUAAUACCGGAUGAUAUCGCGAGAUCAAAGAUUUAUCGCCUGAGGAUGAGCCCGCGUUGGAUUAGGUAGUUGGUGGGGUAAAGGCCUACCAAGCCGACGAUCCAUAGCUGGUCUGAGAGGAUGAUCAGCCACACUGGGACUGAGACACGGCCCAGACUCCUACGGGAGGCAGCAGUGGGGAAUAUUGGACAAUGGGCGCAAGCCUGAUCCAGCAAUGCCGCGUGAGUGAUGAAGGCCCUAGGGUUGUAAAGCUCUUUUACCCGGGAAGAUAAUGACUGUACCGGGAGAAUAAGCCCCGGCUAACCCCGUG
This 435-nucleotide ribosomal RNA is filed under the name uncultured bacterium. RNAcentral describes it as "partial 16S ribosomal RNA". It matches the Rfam family "Bacterial small subunit ribosomal RNA", at positions 29 to 507 of the family's 1533-position model. The record is from RNAcentral.